Molecule: ribosomal RNA, 508 nt
Filed under: uncultured bacterium
Lineage: Bacteria
Description: partial 16S ribosomal RNA
Rfam family: Bacterial small subunit ribosomal RNA
Source: RNAcentral
GAUGAACGCUAGCUACAGGCUUAACACAUGCAAGUCGAGGGGAAACGAUAUUGGAAGCUUGCUUCCGAUAGGCGUCGACCGGCGCACGGGUGAGUAACGCGUAUCCAACCUGCCCACCACUUGGGGAUAACCUUGCGAAAGUAAGACUAAUGCCCAAUGACGUCCAUAGAAGACAUCUGAAAUGGAUUAAAGAUUUAUCGGUGAUGGAUGGGGAUGCGUCUGAUUAGCUUGUUGGCGGGGAAACGGCCCACCAAGGCGACGAUCAGUAGGGGGUCUGCGGGGAAGGUCCCCAACAUUGGAACUGAGACACGGGCCAAACUCCUACGGUAGGCAGCGGUGAGGAAUAGUGGUCAAUGGGCGGGAGCCUGAACCAGCCAGGUAGCGUGCAGGAUGACGGCCCUAUGGGUUGUAAACUGCUUUUAUAAGGGAAUAAAAUGAGUCUCGUGAGGCUUGUUGCAUGUACCUUAUGAAUAAGGACCGGCUAAGUCCGUGCCAGCAGCCGCAGUAA